Ctenocephalides felis (cat flea) is the source of this 992-nucleotide long non-coding RNA. RefSeq lists it as uncharacterized. The record is from RefSeq and is a predicted model, not a curated record. The transcript is spliced from 4 exons. Lineage: Eukaryota; Metazoa; Arthropoda; Insecta; Siphonaptera; Pulicidae.
AGUGCUUUAAAAUUAUAUUUCAGUUGAAAGAUUUUGUAUUCUAAAGUGUUUUUGUGACUGUGUUUUUAUUAAAACAACAAGAAUGCAUUGACCUCUGCAAGGUUCGGCGAGCAGCUGACAGGUGCAAAUCGAUAGUUUCGGGUACUUGUGAUAAUAGGUGUCGUAUGUAAUCAAACAUCCAACCACGUCGGCAUUAAUCAGCUGAUAAGGCGUAGAUGUCAUCGUAUAAAAUAUAUUUUGAAAUUUAGUCAUUGUCGAAACAACUUGUGAAACUUCUACACAAUGUGCGACUGUCUUAAAUCAGUAUUCUGUUGCUUAUGCAACUUGAGUAUGAGCAUAUUAUGCUGUUUGGGCGUAGUUGGUGUACUAAUUUUGGCAGCAAUUGGUGUAGGACUAUACUUUGGCCUUAAGGAUGGACCACCUGAUCAUUAAUAGUUUAAGAUUCAUACAAACCAGACACGCAAAAUCAUAAUCUCAAUAUCGCGAUCAUUAUAGUUUAAGGAAAUUAUAAUAUUCAUCAUUAUCAAUAAAUAUAUGCUACAUAAUAGUUUAAUCUUUGUUAUAUAUGUAAAGUUCUAGUGUAACUCAAAUACUUUAAUUUGUUCUAAAAAAAGUAUGUAUCUCAAAUAUUGCCAAGUCGAUGCAAUAUAAUGUAUUUUGAUAAAUAAAAAAAAAUAUUUCUGUGUAACGCAUGCUCGUUAUAUUCAUAAUAACAGUUAAGUUAGAUUCAAGCUAAAAAAAUUGUUUCAGAGUUAGAUACCAAUCAACGAGAUUCAAGUUAGAAUAUUUUUACAAACUCAUAAAAUGAAGAUUUUAACGAGAAUUUUGAAAGAGUUUAGCAAGAUUUCUGUUAAAAACAAGUCAGAUUCAAGUUAGAUUAGUUAGAUUGUUUGAUUCAAGUUAGAUUCAGGUUGAGAAUAAAUAUUUCUAAUAUAGAUUAAAAGGUUAUUUAAAUAAAAACUUUGAAAAAGAUAAGGUUAAUAUAUAUUGUA